RNAcentral lists this ribosomal RNA (366 nucleotides) under uncultured soil bacterium. Its description in RNAcentral is "bacterial SSU rRNA". It matches the Rfam family "Bacterial small subunit ribosomal RNA", at positions 26 to 421 of the family's 1533-position model. The record is from RNAcentral.
AGAACGAACGCUGGCGGCAUGCCUAAUACAUGCAAGUCGAACGAACACUUCGGUGUUAGUGGCGCACGGGUGCGUAACGCGUGGGAAUCUGCCCUUGGGUUCGGAAUAACAGUUGGAAACGACUGCUAAUACCGGAUGAUAUCGAAAGAUCAAAGAUUUAUCGCCCAGGGAUGAGCCCGCGUAGGAUUAGCUAGUUGGUGAGGUAAAAGCUCACCAAGCCGACGAUCUGUAGCUGGUUUGAGAGAACGACCAGCCACACUGGGACUGAGACACGGCCCAGACUCCUACGGGAGGCAGCAGUGGGGAAUUUUGGACAAUGGCGAAAGCCUGAUCCAGCAAUGCCGCGUGCAGGAAGAAGGCCUUCGG